AUUGAACGCUGGCGGCAGGCUUAACACAUGCAAGUCGAGCGAGCGGCGGACGGGUGAGUAAUAUCUGGGAAACUGCCAGAUGGAGGGGGAUAAAUACUGGAAACGGUAGAUAAUCCCGCAUACCAUCAGAUGUGCCCAGAUGGGAUUAGCGAGUAGGUGGGGUAAUGGCUCACCUAGGCGAAGAUCCCUAGCUGGUCUGAGAGGAGGACCAGCCAAACUGGAACUGAAACACGGUCCAGACUCCUACGGGAGGCAGCAGUGGGGAAUAUUGCACAAUGGGCGAAAGCCUGAUGCAGCCAUGCCGCGGAGGUGAAGAAGGCCUUCGGGUUGUAAAGCACUUUCAGCGAGGAGGCGUUACUCGCAGAAGAAGCACCGGCUAACUCCGUGCCAGCCGCCGCGGUAAUAC
This 406-nucleotide ribosomal RNA is filed under the name uncultured bacterium. RNAcentral describes it as "partial 16S ribosomal RNA". It matches the Rfam family "Bacterial small subunit ribosomal RNA", at positions 29 to 526 of the family's 1533-position model. The record is from RNAcentral.